ACCGCUCAAGGUCCGUUCGCAAAAUCGUCUGGCAGGGGCGGGGGAACCACUUCCGGUCUUCGAAAGAAGGCCUAGGGGUUAAGUCGCAAUGCUUCCGUGGAAGCAGCGUGGCCGGAUGACUCCCAUCCGAAUCCGACAGCUCACCUCGCAGGCACUGGGAGAGGCUAC
This 168-nucleotide small RNA is filed under the name Paenarthrobacter aurescens. RNAcentral's name for it is "Arthrobacter aurescens c-di-AMP sequence". It matches the Rfam family "c-di-AMP riboswitch aptamer (ydaO/yuaA leader)". From Rfam's summary of the family: This family represents a conserved RNA structure found upstream of the ydaO and yuaA genes in Bacillus subtilis and related genes in other bacteria. The ydaO/yuaA element is thought to act as a genetic "off" switch for the ydaO and yuaA genes in its native state. The record is from RNAcentral. Lineage: Bacteria; Bacillati; Actinomycetota; Actinomycetes; Micrococcales; Micrococcaceae.